This 1463-nucleotide ribosomal RNA is filed under the name Streptococcus thermophilus. Its description in RNAcentral is "16S ribosomal RNA". It matches the Rfam family "Bacterial small subunit ribosomal RNA". Lineage: Bacteria; Bacillati; Bacillota; Bacilli; Lactobacillales; Streptococcaceae. The record is from RNAcentral.
ACGCUGGCGGCGUGCCUAAUACAUGCAAGUAGAACGCUGAAGAGAGGAGCUUGCUCUUCUUGGAUGAGUUGCGAACGGGUGAGUAACGCGUAGGUAACCUGCCUUGUAGCGGGGGAUAACUAUUGGAAACGAUAGCUAAUACCGCAUAACAAUGGAUGACACAUGUCAUUUAUUUGAAAGGGGCAAUUGCUCCACUACAAGAUGGACCUGCGUUGUAUUAGCUAGUAGGUGAGGUAAUGGCUCACCUAGGCGACGAUACAUAGCCGACCUGAGAGGGUGAUCGGCCACACUGGGACUGAGACACGGCCCAGACUCCUACGGGAGGCAGCAGUAGGGAAUCUUCGGCAAUGGGGGCAACCCUGACCGAGCAACGCCGCGUGAGUGAAGAAGGUUUUCGGAUCGUAAAGCUCUGUUGUAAGUCAAGAACGGGUGUGAGAGUGGAAAGUUCACACUGUGACGGUAGCUUACCAGAAAGGGACGGCUAACUACGUGCCAGCAGCCGCGGUAAUACGUAGGUCCCGAGCGUUGUCCGGAUUUAUUGGGCGUAAAGCGAGCGCAGGCGGUUUGAUAAGUCUGAAGUUAAAGGCUGUGGCUCAACCAUAGUUCGCUUUGGAAACUGUCAAACUUGAGUGCAGAAGGGGAGAGUGGAAUUCCAUGUGUAGCGGUGAAAUGCGUAGAUAUAUGGAGGAACACCGGUGGCGAAAGCGGCUCUCUGGUCUGUAACUGACGCUGAGGCUCGAAAGCGUGGGGAGCGAACAGGAUUAGAUACCCUGGUAGUCCACGCCGUAAACGAUGAGUGCUAGGUGUUGGAUCCUUUCCGGGAUUCAGUGCCGCAGCUAACGCAUUAAGCACUCCGCCUGGGGAGUACGACCGCAAGGUUGAAACUCAAAGGAAUUGACGGGGGCCCGCACAAGCGGUGGAGCAUGUGGUUUAAUUCGAAGCAACGCGAAGAACCUUACCAGGUCUUGACAUCCCGAUGCUAUUUCUAGAGAUAGAAAGUUACUUCGGUACAUCGGUGACAGGUGGUGCAUGGUUGUCGUCAGCUCGUGUCGUGAGAUGUUGGGUUAAGUCCCGCAACGAGCGCAACCCCUAUUGUUAGUUGCCAUCAUUCAGUUGGGCACUCUAGCGAGACUGCCGGUAAUAAACCGGAGGAAGGUGGGGAUGACGUCAAAUCAUCAUGCCCCUUAUGACCUGGGCUACACACGUGCUACAAUGGUUGGUACAACGAGUUGCGAGUCGGUGACGGCGAGCUAAUCUCUUAAAGCCAAUCUCAGUUCGGAUUGUAGGCUGCAACUCGCCUACAUGAAGUCGGAAUCGCUAGUAAUCGCGGAUCAGCACGCCGCGGUGAAUACGUUCCCGGGCCUUGUACACACCGCCCGUCACACCACGAGAGUUUGUAACACCCGAAGUCGGUGAGGUAACCUUUUGGAGCCAGCCGCCUAAGGUGGGACAGAUGAUUGGGG